GCCCAGUGCUCUGAAUGUCAAAGCGAAGUAAUUCGAACAAGCGCGGGUAAACGGC
This is a ribosomal RNA of Capronia epimyces CBS 606.96, 55 nucleotides long. It matches the Rfam family "Eukaryotic large subunit ribosomal RNA", at positions 2200 to 2254 of the family's 3401-position model. Lineage: Eukaryota; Fungi; Ascomycota; Eurotiomycetes; Chaetothyriales; Herpotrichiellaceae. The record is from Rfam.